Brachypodium distachyon (stiff brome) is the source of this 1422-nucleotide long non-coding RNA. RefSeq lists it as uncharacterized. NCBI's taxonomy places the organism in Eukaryota, Viridiplantae, Streptophyta, Magnoliopsida, Poales, Poaceae. The transcript has 5 exons. The record is from RefSeq and is a predicted model, not a curated record.
GUCGCGUCCCCUCUGGCCUCUGCCUUCUGUGCUGUGGCCUGUGGGCCUCUGCUCUUCAUCUGUUCUCGACUUCUGGUCGCGCCUCCUCUGAUCCUCUCCUUCCGAGUUCCGAACAGCUGAAGGCCUGAAGCAAGCGCUUGUGAGCUUGUCCAUUGGUAGGAAGACGCGUCUCUUCCACUUGCGCCAAGCUCCGGCUCCGCCUCAGCUUCCCGCAGCGUGCUUGGUCUCGAUCCGAAGGGGCGGUCUAGGUCGCUUUCGUUUCAACCUGACUAUUUCUGGGGGGCAAUUUGAAGAUUUGGACCUUUGAUGGUUAAUGGAUCAUCAUAAGUAACAGGAUCAUUUCCUGUUCUGUUGCCUUGUCGUUGGACUAUACAAGAACACAUCCGGACACUGUUCUUUUCUUUGAUAGAUGGAAUGAAAACGACAGGUGUACCAUUCCUGUCAAGACAAAUUAAGGAAGUCAAGGAGCACGGGGCUCUUGCACUGGGGGCACCGAGGGUCAUCCUGAGGGAGCAUGACGUAGAUGAAGCAGCGAGGGCAGGCGGCAAGCACCAUAGACGUUGCCUCGGGGCUGUUGGACCACUGCAGGCCGUGCUCGUUCUCUGACGACAGGCACGAGCUCGGGGACGACUCCUCGUCGGCCAUCGCCCUGUUGGAGGAGUUCCCUCUUGCCGGCAGCGAGAGGUUCAGCUUCAGGUCAAGGCCCCUUGAAGAGUUCUUCUUGUUGCUGCGGCUCAUCUUCGAAGGUACCCUCUGUCUGCGCACAUCAAAGCGUUGAACUGGCUAAUUAGCAAAGGACGGCAGGAGGCGUGCAGAUGAAAGUGAAAGCGACAGGGCAGGAAUGCUAGGAGCGUGUUUCGUUGGUGUGGUUGGAACAGAGAUGACAAGUAUUUAUAGGGGGAGGGAGAUGGACGGGGAGAGGUCAAUUGGUUUUGUUUAAUGCAGCAGUAUUACUUCUCUCUGUCUCUCAUGUACACUCAGAGGCAUUUUAUUACCCAGCAAAUCAUGGUUGGAGAGUGGCAACGUAAGGGUUGAAUAAUCUGUCAUCUGUGCUGGGUGGAAGAGAAGUGCGAGGUGAGAGGGCUGGUCAUGCACACAAAGUAGGCAAUCUAAAAGGAGGAAACGGAGGCUGGGGCAUCUAGUUACAGUUGUUUUGAUCUGAUUUUCUUUUCUCUUACCCUGAAGAGGAAAAUCAGUGAUGGAUCUUUCUUUUAUUUUGGUUUUGAACGUGGUAGCCAGUAGUUGUUAGAUUGCUACUGAUAGUAAUAGCUCUUAACACACCUUUUUUGCUGUCAUACUCUCAUAACUAUGAGAGAGUGGGCAGUUUUCUUACUGCAUUGAUUCUUUUUAAAAUUAUGUUUGGUUGAAAGUUGAAACAAAUAAUACUGUAGUAAUUUAAACAUUCCAGAUUUUGCGAGUGAA